GACAGAGGGUGCAAACGUUGUUCGGAAUUACUGGGCGUAAAGCGCGUGUAGGCGGUUCGUAAAGUCGGAUGUGAAAGCCCUGGGCUCAACCUGGGAAUGGCACUCGAUACUGGGAAGCUAGAGUGCGGUAGAGGAGGGUGGAAUUCCCGGUGUAGCGGUGAAAUGCGUAGAGAUCGGGAGGAACAUCAGUGGCGAAGGCGACCCUCUGGACCAGCACUGACGCUGAGGCACGAAAGCGUGGGGAGCAAACAGG
RNAcentral lists this ribosomal RNA (253 nucleotides) under uncultured bacterium. Its description in RNAcentral is "partial 16S ribosomal RNA". It matches the Rfam family "Bacterial small subunit ribosomal RNA", at positions 524 to 776 of the family's 1533-position model. The record is from RNAcentral.